Molecule: long non-coding RNA, 593 nt
Filed under: Gadus morhua (Atlantic cod)
Lineage: Eukaryota; Metazoa; Chordata; Actinopteri; Gadiformes; Gadidae
Description: lncRNA (ENSGMOG00000026834.1)
Source: RNAcentral
GUACUUUAGUGGAGCUAGAGGCAGAGCAGAAAACAGGAUUCACUCUGGAUUGGAUGAAGGUCCGGCGAUGGUCCAAUUUAAGCCAAUCAGAAGCCAAAGCUGCGGCUGGCUAGUUGUCGGUUGAAGGUUUGUCGGUUGAAUGUUUCCCAGGCGCUCAAGCGGCAGAAGGAGGCGGGGCUAGAGGCCCACAGCUCCGCCCAGCAGCUUCAGCAGGAGAGGGAGGGGCUCCAGGAGAGGCUGAGAGCCUCCAGAUCACCGUGACGACGCUGCAGACGGAGCGCGGCGAGCUGGAGCGGAGCGUCGCACGGCUGGGGAGGGACAAGGCCACGCUGCGCAAGGCCCUGGAGAAGGCGGAGUUGCAGAGGCUAAGGAGCGAGGAGGAGGUGGUGCUGGGCGGCCAGGAGAAGGAGCGCCUGCUGGAGGCACUGCGGGCCCUUGAGCGGGACCUGACGGAGAACCAGGUGGAGCUGCAGAGCCUGCAGGUCAGAGGUCACAGCGUCGCUGCUCAGAAUUUGCAUCCAGGUCUCAAGUCAGACAUGGGGGAUGGCGAGCUCAGAGCUGGGUGAACGGGGCGCUUCGUAUUUGUUUCCGGC